RNAcentral lists this non-coding RNA (1310 nucleotides) under Cryptosporidium parvum. The record is from RNAcentral. Lineage: Eukaryota; Apicomplexa; Conoidasida; Eucoccidiorida; Cryptosporidiidae.
AUAAUCUCCAUUAUCGACCUCCUCUAAGCCCUCAGGCUCUAAAUUGACUUGAAUUUCUUGGCAUUCCUCCUCUUCUAUAAUACUUUCCAUCUUUAGGUAACAACUUACUUCUUUAGAAGAGAUAUGGUGAUCAUCUUCAAGGCUAAUUUCAGUUCCAUCUAUUUGGUUAGUAAGCUCAAGAAUAACAUCUUCUUCUAGAUGACUUUCUGAUUCUUUGGAUAUCUGAACAAUUUGGGUUUUAUUACAAUCCCCAAUUUGUUUAAUCUCAAUAGAUUCUAAGCUAGGAUUUUUGUUGUUAACCCUUUUAUUGUGUGGGGUGCCCAUUUCAUUUGGAAUUCCCAGUCCAACCCUAUCAAUAUACCUUCCCUUUACAUACCUGACUUUUUUCUUACCAGAAUCCUUUUGCUUAUCGAGAGAAUACCAUAAGGCACCCAAACUAGUUAGUAAAAUACCCAAAAGUAAUUUAUCAGUUACAGUAUUUCCAAAAAUAAAACAUCCAAGUAAACAUGUCAGAAGUUGCUUCACAUUACCUGCAAUAUUCAUAGCUAGAGGUGAUACUAUGGAAGAACUCAUUAGGCUUAAAAUAUUUAAACCAAAAGCCAAUAUUCCUGCAAAUAUUAACAGUACAUUUGUCAUCAAAAAUGAAAUUUUAUCCAUAUUUUCGCUUUUUUUUGAUAUCUUUUGUGCUUCUCCAAGAAUUACUGAAAAAAAUCCCAAAGUUAAAGAUGCAACAGGUCCAACAUAUUGAAGCAUAAUUAUUGCAUUAAUCUUCAGGUUCUCAACCUGUAACUUCUGAGCAACAAUUCCUUUCAAAGAAGAAACACAACAUCCCAUGAAUACUAUAAACAAGCCAUAAAUACUUAGUUCUGGAGUACCAUUCACUGUGAUGGCUACUCCUACAAUAACCAAAAUGACAGGAGGAAUCUGAGACAAUCUAUAUUUGUGUUUGAAAAAAAGGAUACCCAAUGCCAUAGUGAAGAGUGGAAUUGUAGUUCUUGCCAUUUGAUGAAGAGAAAUGGAAACCAAGUGUAAAGAGGCAUUGGAGAACCAAAUAUUCAGUGCCACAAUUAUACUAAAAGCCAAAAUACUCUUUUUUUCUUGGAAACUCAAUUCUCCAAUAGAAGAAAAUCUGGAUUUAUCUCCAAAUCUUUUAUUAACAAAACCUCCAAACACAUGGCUUAGAACUGAAGCAAUGAUCAUAUGAAUUAGGGACAUUGUAAUAGGAUAAGGAAAGUAAUUAUUCAUUAACCAUUUGGAAUAAAGCGUAAAUAUUAAGCUUAGUACAAUCCACAUUAAGAAAACCAAAUGCU